RNAcentral lists this ribosomal RNA (305 nucleotides) under uncultured bacterium. RNAcentral describes it as "bacterial SSU rRNA". It matches the Rfam family "Bacterial small subunit ribosomal RNA", at positions 338 to 657 of the family's 1533-position model. The record is from RNAcentral.
CCUACGGGGGGCAGCAGUGGGGAAUAUUGGGCAAUGGAGGCAACUCUUACCCAGCAAUGCCGCGUGAAUGAAGAAGGUCUUCGGAUUGUAAAGUUCUUUAAUUGGGGACGAAAAAAAUGACGGUACCCAAGGAAUAAGCCCCGGCUAACUACGUGCCAGCAGCCGCGGUAAUACGUAGGGGGCAAGCGUUAUCCGGAUUUACUGGGUGUAAAGGGAGCGUAGACGGAUGGAUAAGUCUGAAGUGAAAGCCCGCGGCUCAACUGCGGGACUGCUUUGGAAACUGUGCAUCUUGAGUACGGGAGGGG